UACGUAGGGUGCAAGCGUUAAUCGGAAUUACUGGGCGUAAAGCGUCCGCAGGCGGUUCUAUAAGACAGAUGUGAAAUCCCUGGGCUCAACCUAGGAACUGCAUUUGUGACUGUAGAGCUAGAGUACGGCAGAGGGGGAUGGAAUUCCGCGUGUAGCAGUGAAAUGCGUAGAUAUGCGGAGGAACACCGAUGGCGAAGGCAAUCCCCUGGGCCUGUACUGACGCUCAUGGACGAAAGCGUGGGGAGCAAACAGG
RNAcentral lists this ribosomal RNA (253 nucleotides) under uncultured bacterium. Its description in RNAcentral is "partial 16S ribosomal RNA". It matches the Rfam family "Bacterial small subunit ribosomal RNA", at positions 524 to 776 of the family's 1533-position model. The record is from RNAcentral.